AAGUCGUAACAAGGUUUCCGUAGGUGAACCUGCGGAAGGAUCAUUAUCGAGUGUAGACGUGGGGCUUUGAUGCUGGCGGUCAAACGCAUGUGCUCGAGCCCUCGCUCUUAUCCACUUAACCCCUGUGCACUUAUCCGGAGUGUCGCAGACUGGUGUCGGUUUCGACUGGCUAAGGUCUGUCUCUCUGGUCUGAUUACAAACACUUUUGUAAUGUCUUGUAGAAUGUGUUAGCCGCAUAUAGGCUGAAUUGUAAUACAACUUUCAACAACGGAUCUCUUGGCUCUC
Molecule: unclassified non-coding RNA, 285 nt
Filed under: fungal sp.
Lineage: Eukaryota; Fungi
Description: partial internal transcribed spacer region
Rfam family: Eukaryotic small subunit ribosomal RNA (bases 1-46)
Source: RNAcentral